GACACCGCCUGCGCUAAAGGAGGAAAGAAUGGGCAACGGUAGGUCAGUAUGCCCCGAAUACCCCGGGCUACACACGGGCUACAAUGGGUGGGAGACAGGGUAUCCACACCGAAAAGGGAAAGAAAUCUCCUAAAACCAUUCUUAAUUCGGAAUGAGGGCUGGAACCCCCCCUCAUGAAACUGGAAUCCGUAAUAAUCGCGUUUCAAAAAAGCGC
RNAcentral lists this ribosomal RNA (214 nucleotides) under uncultured archaeon. RNAcentral describes it as "partial 16S ribosomal RNA". It matches the Rfam family "Archaeal small subunit ribosomal RNA", at positions 1101 to 1316 of the family's 1478-position model. The record is from RNAcentral.